AAGUCGUAACAAGGUUUCCGUAGGUGAACCUGCGGAAGGAUCAUUAAAAAAGGGUCGUAAGACCUAUUUUUAAACACUAUCGCCGCCUAUCAUCUAUGGGUAGGAUACUCUUGUCUAUGGGUGAGAUGGAGGAGGUAGGGUUUUUUAAAAUCCAAUUAUUAUUAUAAAAUAUAUCGUCUAAUGACGAACCAAAAAAAAUUAUUAAAACUUUCAACAAUGGAUCUCUUGGCUCUC
Molecule: unclassified non-coding RNA, 234 nt
Filed under: fungal sp.
Lineage: Eukaryota; Fungi
Also listed under: 1 other name
Description: partial internal transcribed spacer region
Rfam family: Eukaryotic small subunit ribosomal RNA (bases 1-46)
Source: RNAcentral